This 467-nucleotide ribosomal RNA is filed under the name uncultured bacterium. Its description in RNAcentral is "partial 16S ribosomal RNA". It matches the Rfam family "Bacterial small subunit ribosomal RNA", at positions 29 to 507 of the family's 1533-position model. The record is from RNAcentral.
ACGAACGCUGGCGGCGUGCUUAACACAUGCAAGUCGCACGGAAAGGCCCUGCUUUUGUGGGGUGCUCGAGUGGCGAACGGGUGAGUAACACGUGAGUAACCUGCCCUUGACUUUGGGAUAACUUCAGGAAACUGGGGCUAAUACCGGAUAGGAGCUCCUGCUGCAUGGUGGGGGUUGGAAAGUUUCGGCGGUUGGGGAUGGACUCGCGGCUUAUCAGCUUGUUGGUGGGGUAGUGGCUUACCAAGGCUUUGACGGGUAGCCGGCCUGAGAGGGUGACCGGCCACAUUGGGACUGAGAUACGGCCCAGACUCCUACGGGAGGCAGCAGUGGGGAAUAUUGCACAAUGGGCGGAAGCCUGAUGCAGCAACGCCGCGUGCGGGAUGACGGCCUUCGGGUUGUAAACCGCUUUCGCCUGUGACGAAGCGUGAGUGACGGUAAUGGGUAAAGAAGCACCGACUAACUACGUG